Molecule: ribosomal RNA, 519 nt
Filed under: uncultured eukaryote
Lineage: Eukaryota
Description: SSU rRNA
Rfam family: Eukaryotic small subunit ribosomal RNA
Source: RNAcentral
AGGGCACCACCAGGAGUGGAGCCUGCGGCUUAAUUUGACUCAACACGGGGAAACUUACCCGGCCUGGACACUGGAAGGAUUGACAGAUUGAGAGCUCUUUCUUGAAUCAGUGGGUGGUGGUGCAUGGCCGUUCUUAGUUGGUGGAGCGAUUUGUCUGGUUAAUUCCGAUAACGAACGAGACUCUAGCCUAUUAAAUAGGCUCUCGGCUUUUAAACGCCGGGAGGACUUCUUAGAGGGACAGGUGGCGGUUCAGCCGCACGAAAGAGAGCAAUAACAGGUCUGUGAUGCCCUUUGUUGUCCGGGGCCGCACGCGCGCUACACUGAAGAGAUCAGCGUGCUUUACGUUCCUGCUCCGACCGGAGUGGGGAACCCAGUGAACCUUCUUCGUGAUUGGGAUAGAAGAUUGUAAUUAUUCUUCUUGAACGAGGAAUUCCCAGUAAAUGCGAGUCAUAAGCUCGCGUUGAUUACGUCCCUGCCCUUUGUACACACCGCCCGUCGCUACUACCGAUUGAACGAUUU